Long non-coding RNA from Xenopus laevis (African clawed frog), 1199 nucleotides. RefSeq lists it as uncharacterized. The record is from RefSeq and is a predicted model, not a curated record. The transcript is spliced from 3 exons. Lineage: Eukaryota; Metazoa; Chordata; Amphibia; Anura; Pipidae.
AGACUACAUGCCAAGACCAAGAUAGUAAUAAUUUAAUUACCCAACCAUAUCCCUUAGGUGGUUAUACUACAACUCACUGUACCAUCUAACAGUAUUGUCAUUAUGUGCAUAUUAAUGAAGUUGCUAUUAAUGUAGUUGCAGAAACCUAACAUCACAGAAAGGGGAGAAUCUGGCAUUCCACGAAUUCUUUGUGAGCAUCAAUGUAGUCCAGACGGCAUCUCAUCAGAUGAAAAGUCAUGCCUCCGACGAAUUUACCGGGUCUUGCACUACUAUGAGGAUGGUAUACACCAGGUGUUUCACCAAAGUGACCAGGCUGAAGUCACAGAAAUGCCUUGGCUAAGCAAAAGUAGGAAGGACACACACAGAAUUCGAAAAACCAUAAAACGCAUAUUGCAUUGCCUUAAGCAUGAAGGUUAUGGUAUGGAUAUAGUGGAGGAUAAACUUGACCUGCCUUUUAGUCCAAUCAUUAUAGAGAAGAUUGCAUUCAGGAUUAUGGGAGUGACUCCCAUCAUUGCACGGGUCUUCCACCAAUGUGACCACACAUUUACCCACAAAAGCCACCUACAAGCAUUCAGAGCAGUUAGCCAUUAGCAAUGAAAUAGCUUGCUAUUUACUCACUUUUGGAAAGCACAAACUAUUAAAUAUUGUGUAUUUAAUAUUAUUAUUUAUACUUCCAAUGCAAGUUAACAUAUGUUAAAUAAAUUCACACACAUACGGUGCAUGUAUUUAUGUGUCUGAAUGUGUGUGAGUAAAUAUAUUUCUGUAUAGUUACAGGUGCUGUAAUGGAUACUGUUGGGCAGUUUGUUUUAUAAAUAUACUAUGUAUGUGUCUUGUAAAAACAAACACAUUUUUUUUUAAAAUGUGUUGAGCAUGAAACAGUUAGGCCCAUUGCAGUGCAGAUAAAGCACAUGGGCUGUUAUUAUGGACAAGUUAUUUUGAGUCUAUGCUUUCAUAGACUAAUGUUAUUAUUAUUUUUUGGGCUUUUAUAGAAAUUCAUAUAUAUAUUUAAUAUAUAUUUAUUUAUUGCCAACAUGCGUUUAUUUAAUAUUUGUAAAAUGUCAGUUAUAUUUAUUACUGAUAUGUUCAGUGUUAUGAACAUUGUUUAAAAAAUAUAUAUAUUUUGCUUCUUUAUGGAGCUCAGUUGAAACAAAUAAUAUGGACAGUGGUAACAUGUUAUCCCUUUUCAUAUUUCUACAACU